GGAUAAUUUGCUCUUUAAUAUUUAUCUAGCAGGUUUCUCAUAAUGAGAAGCCCCU
This 55-nucleotide small nuclear RNA is filed under the name Nothobranchius furzeri (turquoise killifish). RNAcentral describes it as "U7 small nuclear RNA (ENSNFUG00015001076.1)". It matches the Rfam family "U7 small nuclear RNA". Rfam says of the family: Animal histone pre-mRNAs are spliced by a different mechanism than nuclear pre-mRNAs and self-splicing introns. This processing involves the U7 snRNP, which contains only one RNA species: U7. The 5' end of U7 RNA is thought to base-pair to a conserved spacer element downstream of the cleavage site in histone pre-mRNA. Lineage: Eukaryota; Metazoa; Chordata; Actinopteri; Cyprinodontiformes; Nothobranchiidae. The record is from Rfam by way of RNAcentral.